This 423-nucleotide ribosomal RNA is filed under the name uncultured bacterium. RNAcentral's name for it is "partial 16S ribosomal RNA". It matches the Rfam family "Bacterial small subunit ribosomal RNA", at positions 360 to 775 of the family's 1533-position model. The record is from RNAcentral.
AAUCUUCCACAAUGGACGGAAGUCUGAUGGAGCAGCGCCGCGUGAGCGAAGAAGGUUUUCGGAUCGUAAAGCUCUGUUGUAAGGGAAGAACACGUCCGGGAUUCACUGCCCGUACCUUGACGGUACCUUAUCAGAAAGCCACGGCUAACUACUGGCCAGCAGCCGAGGUAAUACGUAGGUGGCAAGCGUUGUCCGGAAUUAUUGGGCGUAAAGCGCGGGCAGGCGGUCCUUUAAGGCUGAUGUGAAAGCCCACGGCUGAACCGUGGAGGGUCAUUGGAAACUGGAGGACUUGAGUACAGAAGAGGAAAGCGGAAUUCCACGUGUAGCGGUGAAAUGCGUAGAGAUGUGGAGGAACACCAGUGGCGAAGGCGGCUUUCUGGUCUGUAACUGACGCUGAGGCGCGAAAGCGUGGGGAGCAAACAG